UAUUCUGCCCCAUGGGGAAGGAUGAGAAGCUUCGACUAAGGUUCGACUCGAGCGAAGCGAGAGAACGUUGCCGCAGGCAACGGCC
RNAcentral lists this small RNA (85 nucleotides) under Klebsiella pneumoniae. RNAcentral describes it as "partial RtT sRNA". It matches the Rfam family "RtT RNA", at positions 1 to 84 of the family's 130-position model. From Rfam's summary of the family: This family represents a bacterial cis-regulatory element known as RtT RNA. RNAcentral also lists the same sequence under 1 other name. Lineage: Bacteria; Pseudomonadati; Pseudomonadota; Gammaproteobacteria; Enterobacterales; Enterobacteriaceae. The record is from RNAcentral.